UACGAAGGGGGCUAGCGUUGUCCGGAAUCAUUGGGCGUAAAGCGCGCGUAGGCGGCCCGGUAAGUCCGCUGUAAAAGUCAAAGGCUCAACCUUUGAAUGUCAGUGGAUACUGCCGGGCUAGAGUCCGGAAGAGGCGAGUGGAACUCCUGGUGUAGCGGUGGAAUGCGCAGAUAUCAGGAAGAACACCGACGGCGAAGGCAGCUCGCUGGGACGGUACUGACGCUGAGGCGCGAAAGCGUGGGGAGCGAACAGG
RNAcentral lists this ribosomal RNA (253 nucleotides) under uncultured bacterium. RNAcentral's name for it is "partial 16S ribosomal RNA". It matches the Rfam family "Bacterial small subunit ribosomal RNA", at positions 524 to 776 of the family's 1533-position model. The record is from RNAcentral.